RNAcentral lists this ribosomal RNA (991 nucleotides) under uncultured bacterium. RNAcentral's name for it is "bacterial SSU rRNA". It matches the Rfam family "Bacterial small subunit ribosomal RNA", at positions 8 to 1007 of the family's 1533-position model. The record is from RNAcentral.
AGAGUUUGAUCAUGGCUCAGGAUGAACGCUGGCGGCGUGCCUAACACAUGCAAGUCGAGCGUGAACCCUGCGAAUGAAACUUCGGUCGAUUUUGCAGGGGGAAAGCGGCGGACGGGUGAGUAACGCGUAGGUAACCUGCCCCAUACUGAGGGAUAGCCUCGGGAAACCGGGAUUAAUACCUCAUAACACCGUAUAUUCGCAUGGAUGUGCGGUCAAAGAUUUAUCGGUAUGGGAUGGGCCUGCGUCUGAUUAGCUGGUUGGUGGGGUAACGGCCUACCAAGGCGACGAUCAGUAGCCGACCUGAGAGGGUGAUCGGCCACAUUGGAACUGAGACACGGUCCAAACUCCUACGGGAGGCAGCAGUGGGGAAUAUUGCACAAUGGGCGAAAGCCUGAUGCAGCAACGCCGCGUGAGCGAAGAAGGCCUUUGGGUCGUAAAGCUCUGUCGGGUAGGAAGAUAAUGACGGUACUACCCGAGGAAGCCCCGGCUAACUACGUGCCAGCAGCCGCGGUAAUACGUAGGGGGCGAGCGUUAUCCGGAAUUACUGGGCGUAAAGAGUGCGUAGGUGGCUGCUUAAGCGUGAGGUGAAAGGCAAUGGCUUAACCAUUGUGAGCCUCGCGAACUGGGUGGCUUGAGUGCAGGAGAGGAAAGCGGAAUUCCUAGUGUAGCGGUGAAAUGCGUAGAUAUUAGGAGGAACACCAGUGGCGAAGGCGGCUUUCUGGACUGCAACUGACACUGAGGCACGAAAGCGUGGGGAGCAAACAGGAUUAGAUACCCUGGUAGUCCACGCCGUAAACGAUGAGCACUANGUGUCGGGGUCGCAAGACUUCGGUGCCGCAGUUAACGCAUUAAGUGCUCCGCCUGGGGAGUACGCACGCAAGUGUGAACUCAAGGAAUUGACGGGGACCCGCACAAGCAGCGGAGCAUGUGGUUUAAUUCGAAGCACGCGAGACCUUACCAGGGCUGACAUCCCUCUGACAGGUGGGUACGC